RNAcentral lists this transfer RNA (64 nucleotides) under Xenostrobus securis. RNAcentral describes it as "tRNA-Asp". The record is from RNAcentral. Lineage: Eukaryota; Metazoa; Mollusca; Bivalvia; Mytilida; Modiolidae.
UUAAAAGUAGUUAAUAAAUAAUGUUAGUUUGUCAAACUAAAGUAGGCAAUAAUGCCCUUUUACA